UGGCUUAGAUGGUAAAAGAAUCUACCUGCAAUGUAGAAGAUCCAGGUUCAGUCCCUGG
Molecule: transfer RNA, 58 nt
Filed under: Bos taurus (domestic cattle)
Lineage: Eukaryota; Metazoa; Chordata; Mammalia; Artiodactyla; Bovidae
Also listed under: 2 other names
Rfam family: tRNA
About the family: Transfer RNA (tRNA) molecules are approximately 80 nucleotides in length. Their secondary structure includes four short double-helical elements and three loops (D, anti-codon, and T loops).
Source: Rfam by way of RNAcentral